This 768-nucleotide long non-coding RNA is filed under the name Homo sapiens (human). Its description in RNAcentral is "HSALNT0310218". Lineage: Eukaryota; Metazoa; Chordata; Mammalia; Primates; Hominidae. The record is from RNAcentral.
CAUGUGAACUGUGCUAAGGACCUUUGAAGCUGUGCUCCUUCUUCCCAAUAUGACAUCUGGGUUAAGGAGAAGCUUACUUUAUAUGGCAAAUUGACUAGUACAUAGUAGACCUCAAUGAAUAAUAAUUUGUUGAAAGUUUUCCUCUUCCAAGGCUCAGUUUCUUCAUCUGUGAAUUAAGGAUGUUGCUCAAGAAGGGACAGGAGUGAAGUGUCCAGGCUCAUCAACAGUCUGUGUGCAAAGUUACAGAAAAUUUCUUCUCACAGCCUUUGAGAGAGAAAAUUCUAUGGCCUUCAGACUUGGAUUAGAACUACACCACCGGCUCUCCAGGAUCUGCAGCUUGUAGAUGGCAGAUUGUGGACAUUCUCAGCCUUCAUAAUCAUGGCUCGUCCCAAGUGGAUCUUUCAGAAAGCCCUUCUCUGACCACAAUAUAGUGCUAGUGCCACCGCUGCCCACCCCGUGGUGUGCUAGACUCGUCCAACUUAGAAUCACCACUACUCCCUGCAAGUGUGUCCAUGGUGCUAAACAUCCCCAAGUAUUUGUAUAUAGUGCUUUGUACAGGGUGAUUUAUGUGCAUUCAUGUGAUGGUUCAGAAUCUCAACGAGAGGACGAUGUUUGCCACUGCUGUACAGAAAAAGGUGAUCCAGCAGCUGCAGAUGAUUAGAAGUGAAUGGCAAAGCAAUGUCAAGAGAUUCUACAUCCACAAAACAAGAGUUUCAACCACAGAAGGGCACAAGGAGACAAACUCAGACUCCAAGGUUGUCAAGUACA